This is a long non-coding RNA of Callithrix jacchus (white-tufted-ear marmoset), 484 nucleotides long. RefSeq lists it as uncharacterized. NCBI's taxonomy places the organism in Eukaryota, Metazoa, Chordata, Mammalia, Primates, Cebidae. The record is from RefSeq and is a predicted model, not a curated record.
CAGCAAUUACACUCACCUUUGUUUGUUUCUUUCUUUUUUAUUGUACUUUAGGUUCUGGGGUACAUCUGCAGAUCAUGCAGGAUUCUUGCAUAGCCCUCUGUCAUAGCACCAGUUGAAAUUGCAUGGAGAUGAGUACAGAGAAUCAACAUUAAGUUAGGAAAGAAACCAACUUAGGAGACUGACAAGGAGCAAGAACCAAGAGCCCUGCGACUUACUAGAGAGAGCUGAGACGUACAUUUACCUUGAAACUUUUAAAAACUGAAACAUGCAAAACCUGAACCUUCUGAGAGUAUGAGAAAUGUUUCCACAAACAUACAAUUUACAGGUUUGGAUCUUUUUGUGGAUCGUAAGUGUGAUGAUUGGGUGUUCAUGUGCAGCUGUCAGAUAUGCCACCCUUGAACCUUGUUACAACGUUGGCACACUAGCUGUUUAAGGUGAAAAAGAAAUGUAGAGGAUUUCUAUUCAAGAAUCCCUCAAAGGUAAA